CAACCAAUGAUCAUGGCACUAGGAAGUUC
RNAcentral lists this small RNA (29 nucleotides) under Bombyx mori (domestic silkworm). RNAcentral's name for it is "ovarian small RNA-12772". Lineage: Eukaryota; Metazoa; Arthropoda; Insecta; Lepidoptera; Bombycidae. The record is from RNAcentral.